This is a non-coding RNA of Nothobranchius furzeri (turquoise killifish), 2152 nucleotides long. The record is from RefSeq and is a predicted model, not a curated record. NCBI's taxonomy places the organism in Eukaryota, Metazoa, Chordata, Actinopteri, Cyprinodontiformes, Nothobranchiidae.
UUUAUGAAAGAUGAACCAUUCUACAUUGUAAUUUGUGAUAUUAAUUUUAUUAAAUUAAUAACCAAAUUGUAUAGUUUUAAGAAGACUCAAAGGUUGUUUUUAUCGAUAAACUGUCGAUAAUAUCCGUGGGUCUGUGUUUCAGUUCAAUGAAGAAACAAGUUUGACAAUUAAAAGUUUUAAUUCUUCAAAUUAAACUAAUGAUUUUGAAAUUGACAAACAGGAAAUAACAAUCAACAUUGGCAACUUUGUGGGACAAUCUUUAACAGUUGAUAUGCUGUUCUUGCUCAAAUAGACCUUGUGGUGAAUGUGUGAAGAUUGAACAUGAGGUGAGAUGAAGGCAUGUGGGUGUGCGUUUGAUUUUGCUUCAGGAAGAAACAGGUGUCUGAGUGAAGUGAUGGUUUGGAUAAACUUAGGUCUUUUUGAAAAACUGCAUCAAACGCUAACUACCGUGUUCUGCCUCACCGAAAAUCGGACCCCCUUUACGAUCCGGGACGCCAGAGGAUGUUGAUUUUCAUCCAGGUGACACCAGCGGCUGGCAGAGGAGACGUAGGUGUCCUGCGAGCCCGGUCCAGAGAUGCCCGCGGUACACGUCGAUGGAAAAACGUUUGCAGAUGUGUUUUGUUAAGUUUAGUUCACUCAGAAAUCAAAAGACUCGGUAUGAGUCUGCGUUAGAAGUUGCGAUUCAGCUAUUCUGUCUGGCUGACAGGAACAGCGUGGGGGGAACGAGCCGACCGGCUCUGUCCCCCCUUUGGUUUCUUCAGGUCCUCUCUCUUUCGUUGUCAAGCACGAACUGAAUCAUUAACUGAAACUUACCAAAAGCCUUUCUCUUCUCAAAGCAAAACGUGUACGUCAGCAAAUGUGUUUUGGAGUUUACUGUGAGAAUCUGUGUGGGUGUGUUUGAGUGUGUGUGUGCUUGAGUGUGUGUGAAGGUCGUUAACAAACAUCCUCAAACAUUAUUUAAUUAAGUAUGGAUUCAUUAAUCCAUUAUAAUUACCCAAAGCAUAAGAAUCAUUCAUUUGAUUAAAACACAUUUAUAAUGAGCAAAAUGAUAAUGAUUAUUAUUUAACAUUAAAAUCAAGAAAGAAAGUUUAAGACUUGUUAUGACUACAUUUCCUGGGAACACAUCUUCUGGCAGACUGCAGGUGGCAGAUGUUAUGGUUUCCAGCAGACUCUUGCAGACUUCAUGUCUGCAAAGGUCUCAAUCUGUGGGUGAAAGUUCUCAGCGACCCAGCUAUUGACCCAGCCGAGUCAAAUGACCUUUUGCACAGAAAACCCAUAUUUCCUCACAUUACAUAUAUUAUCUGACUUUAUAAACUCCCAACAACAAUGUGCUUCUAUUUUUUUUUUUUCAGGCUAAAUCUACCCAAGACACUGGCUGUCAGACUGAUUUAGCUGCAAGAAUGUACUUGUCCAGGCUGAUGUGAAGCCUUCCCUGUAGCAAAGCCAGCCAGAAUGGAGUUCACAGCCGCAGUGUGUCUGGUGACCCACAGGGACCAUGAUGAAAAUUCAUCUUCCAGAAGGUCCCAGAGCGUCCAGACCCCCUGAAAAGACCAAGAUGUAAGGUGUCUGCUGUUGAUUCCAGCUUCCACCUCAGUGACAGUGCAAGCUCAGUGAACUGUUCAAGGACACUCAGCAAAAUAUGGACUCUACACCAUGAGGCAGGCACACGUUAAUAUUCUAUAAGAGCACAUAAGCAUGAGGAUGUCCUCACACACCUGUAACCUAUCAGCUCAUCUGGCAGAAUAGAGAGAGAAGAGACAACACCACAUCUCCUGUUCCUGGAAAGCCUUCAGCCAUCCUUCGAUGACUGAGAACCUCCAUCAGCUCUGUCUCCUGUCUGCCUACAAUUAUUAUAAUAAAUAUUGUGUUUGACAAGUUUUUUGUGCUGCCAAAUAUCUAAUUUAGAUUCCAGUUUUGAUAUUUUAAUGGAUAUUUAUAAAUUACAUUGAUUAUCACAUUUUUGUUGCAUGCUUAACUAGCUCUAUUGUGAUGAAUUAAACUAGCACCUCACUGUUAAAAGCUCGUUUUAAUUUCAAGCAUGUUUAAGUAUUUAUGGACAUGAACAAAAACAGGAAAUAUAUAAAUUGAGAUUUAUUUAAUUAAUAUAACAAAUAAGGGGGAAAGAGUCAUUGAAAGGCACAUUCUUCUGGAA